UGCAGUCGAACGAUGAUGCCCAGCUUGCUGGGCGGAUUAGUGGCGAACGGGUGAGUAAUACGUGAGUAACCUGCCCUUGACUCUGGGAUAAGCCUGGGAAACUGGGUCUAAUACUGGAUACUACUUCUUGCCGCAUGGUGGGUGGUGGAAAGGGUUUUACUGGUUUUGGAUGGGCUCACGGCCUAUCAGCUUGUUGGUGGGGUAAUGGCUCACCAAGGCGACGACGGGUAGCCGGCCUGAGAGGGUGACCGGCCACACUGGGACUGAGACACGGCCCAGACUCCUACGGGAGGCAGCAGUGGGGAAUAUUGCACAAUGGGCGGAAGCCUGAUGCAGCGACGCCGCGUGAGGGAUGACGGCCUUCGGGUUGUAAACCUCUUUCAGUAGGGAAGAAGCGAGAGUGACGGUACCUGCAGAAGAAGCGCCGGCUAACUACGUGCCAGCAGCCGCGGUAAUACGUAGGGCGCAAGCGUUGUCCGGAAUUAUUGGGCGUAAAGAGCUCGUAGGCGGUUUGUCGCGUCUGCUGUGAAAGCCCGGGGCUCAACCCCGGGUCUGCAGUGGGUACGGGCAGACUAGAGUGCAGUAGGGGAGACUGGAAUUCCUGGUGUAGCGGUGAAAUGCGCAGAUAUCAGGAGGAACACCGAUGGCGAAGGCAGGUCUCUGGGCUGUUACUGACGCUGAGGAGCGAAAGCAUGGGGAGCGAACAGGAUUAGAUACCCUGGUAGUCCAUGCCGUAAACGUUGGGCACUAGGUGUGGGGGACAUUCCACGUUUUCCGCGCCGUAGCUAACGCAUUAAG
Molecule: ribosomal RNA, 798 nt
Filed under: Kocuria sp. ET5s10.21
Lineage: Bacteria; Bacillati; Actinomycetota; Actinomycetes; Micrococcales; Micrococcaceae
Description: bacterial SSU rRNA
Rfam family: Bacterial small subunit ribosomal RNA
Source: RNAcentral